Molecule: ribosomal RNA, 408 nt
Filed under: uncultured bacterium
Lineage: Bacteria
Description: partial 16S ribosomal RNA
Rfam family: Bacterial small subunit ribosomal RNA
Source: RNAcentral
GACGAACGCUGGCGGCGUGCUUAACACAUGCAAGUCGAACGGAGUGGCGAACGGGUGAGUAACACGUGGGUGACCUGCCUUGCACUUCGGGAUAAGCCUGGGAAACUGGGUCUAAUACCGGAUAGUGUGGGAUGGGCGCGGGGCGUAUCAGCUUGGUGGGGGGGUAAUGGCCUACCAAGGCGAGGACGGGUAGCCGGCCUGGUAGGGUGGACGGCCACCAGGGGACUGAGACGCGGCCCAGACGCGUACGGGAGGCAGCAGUGGGGAAUAUUGCGCAAUGAGCGGGAGCCUGAUGCAGCGACGCCGCGGGGGGGAUGACGGCCUUCGGGUGGUAAACUCCUUUCACCAUCGACGCGGUAGAUGGAGAAGAAGCACCGGCUAACUACGUGCCAGCAGCCGCGGUAAUAC